ACAAACACUUCCAUCUUAUCUUUGCAAACAAGAACGCGUGGUCAACAAUGGCAGGUCGGCACACUUCAAUUGCGAAUACUGCUGCUGUUGCUGCUGCUGCUACAAAUGUUCAAUACGAGCGUGCCUUGGUGAGCAUCGAGUAUGUGCGUGUGAACAAUAUUGAUAAAAGGACUCCUGGUCACCUCUACGGAACAGUAAAGGUCAAGGACUUCUGGGGCCUUCAUACGGUGUAUGAUCGGAGUUCAAGUGACUAUGAGAGCAAAGGUCCUGGCGAAUUUGCCACAUUGACAGGCCCUUCUGAUGCUAUUUCGGGCUAUGAUGUGUUUAUUAUCAGCGUCAGUUUGUGGCACCAUGACAGCUUGUCCCCCAAGGAUGAGAUUGCUCAAGGUGACAUCGUGUGGGAACCAAGAAAUGAGAAUCUAACUUUCGCCAAUUACGACAAGCGUUUGGAGAAGGUUGUGUUUGGUCAAUAUGGCAGUGUUACAGUGGGUUACUCCGUAAUAAGAUAUGCUCUUAACGCCACUGUCAAAGUUGUGCUGAUCAACGGGGAUAAUAAAUCGCCGGCGGAUGUGCAUGGAACAAUUAAAGCUUCGCAGGUUAUAGGGGUAUCAGAGACAUCCCUCACAUUGUUUGAGAAAUCAUCCGGUGAAUAUGUCCAAGUGAGUCCCAAUCAAUCUAUUCCCCUGACUCGUUCAGUUGUGGUAGCACCAGCAAGUUCCGGGUUAACAAUCAUGGCAGAUUUGUGGAAUUAUGAUACGCUGUCACCUGGUCACCAAAUUGCAAAGGGAAGUGCGCACUUUGAUGCCGUGGUCGGAACCCAAAUCAAGAGCAUAUACAGUCAACAUGGUGAAGUGCAAGUAUCCGUCACUUGUGAGUAAUUGAGGUAGCAACACUCUCCUUGCCCAACCUUGCCUGCCGGUUAUAAAAGUAAAGAGGAUAUUACAAGUUCUGUUCAGAAUUUACUGUGUUGUGAAUCAUCUUGCAAUAUGUUUAGGCUGCUCUGGGCACCAGUGUAAAGUUAUAACAUACUAGAAUUCUGCUUUCUCUCCUAUACAUCUUCUUCCUUCUAGUAUUGUUUCACUUGCUGUUUUCUGUGCAUCUUGUCUCAAUUGAAACUGAUGCUGUUGCUAACAUUUAGUUUGAUAUAAGGUUUUCUCUUCAGCCUUUGAUCUUUGAUACAAGAGCAUCUUUUGCAAGAACGUUUACUUAAUUUCUAUUUUCAACAUUUACUAUAAAUUGCCAUCAUUUUUGCACAUUUUUUUACCAAUAAUUAUGGAUAUUUUUAUAUUUGUCCAUAUAUGCAUCCGUUAUCCCUAAAUUGGUUGGUUGAUAUUGGUGCUCUAAUCCUAUGGUCAUAUCCAGUAAGUAGUUAGAGAGAUAUUUUUCCAUGAGAGCCUUUAAACCGAGCAGGCAAGCAGAUCAGAAAUAAAUGGGCCACGAGGGGAAAAGCGACUGAAAAUGACAAAAAUGUAAAAAACAUCAAUUAUUCAAAGUUUUCUAUUUUCAAGUGUUUUUGCUAUCUGAAGAAGAAUUAACUGUUGUUUCUUAAUUCCCUCUGCUAAGGGGCUUCUGAUUAUUGUAGUGCAAAGUUGAUUUCUACUUGAGCUUUCUUUGAUCAAGAUAGAAGCUUAGCCUUGGCUUCAGAAAGUUCAUGUUUCCUUUGUAUAUAUGCGCAUCAUUUUCAUCUACGGCUUAUUUUUGUCUUGGAUUUUUGCAUUUGAGCAUACAUCUGCAAACUUUAACUGCAAAAUUGGCACUAAAUUAUUUUGUAUGUCCGAAUUAAUUCUUCUGAUCUUCUACAGUUACACUCCACACAUGGCAUUUGUGUGAAGCACAGAGAUUCGAAACAAAAGAAGUCUUUGCCUUAAGAGUUUCUACUUUCUAUAUUCAACUACUGUUUUUGUUAUCAGAAGCAGAAUUAUCUGCAGGCAUUCAAAAAAAGAUAAGUGAAAGUCUGUUGUUUUCUAAUUUCAUGGCCUUUUGAUCAUUGCAGUGCAUGCAAAGUUGAUUUCUGCAUCAAUUUUCUUUGAACUCAAAAAAAAAAAAAAAAAAUCACACCGACUUUGUUAGUGUCUGCAAUGUAUUUUGCGUGUAUCAAAAUAGAAGCUCUGUCUUGGCUCUUCAAAGUUCUUAUGUAUUUCCUUGGUAUGUAGCUGUUCAUCCUCUUCUAUAUUCCAUUUGAGUAGAUAUUUGCUAGUUUGGAUGCAGUGACACUUACUUUCUAUUUCCAAAUUAAGUAAUUCUUUUAAACUUAGCUUGAGAGAUAUUUUUAUUUCCACCUUCUGCAGUAUUUUUUUGAUUGUGUUGCUAGUUAAUCUUUAUAACUUCUUUUGUCUUCCUGUUACUGCUUUUACUCAAGAAAAACCUGUUCUUCAACCUCAGUCAUCAGUGAAUGGCUGCUUAAUUUGCAACCUCUGUUGCUUCUGCUACUCUGGGAAAUUGGGCAGUGUAACACGGAACAGUUCAUGUUCGUUACUUUUUCUGUUUUGGCAAAAUCGUUGAAGAUUUCAGUAAUCAAAGCAAAAUCGUUGGAAAUUGGGCAGUGUCCCAAACUCCGAAUAUCAACAAUAUUCAAGGAAAAAUGGCAGACUUCCUGCAUUUAAAUUUUCAAAAGACGACUUUAGAAGGAAGAGCAGGACAAUUGUGGUUGAGAAUAAAAGACGUGAAGAGCAUUUUUUUUUUUUUGAAAGAUGGUAUUUUAUUGAUCCAGCCAUUCAACCUGCCACUUUAAGUCUUAAGUCCCUCAUAGACUAAAGACUCUUGAUGGCAUAAGAGUUGUCUUAGCUGGGAGAAGACUCUACGAUUGCAUCCUGAAGGAGCUGCCUACAAAAGGAUUGGCAGCACAACUACAUGAGCAAAAGAAACCUAAACAAAAAGUUAUCUAAGUUCCUAUGCACAUCAAUAAAAUUUCUAAAUGGCUCGUCAAAACAAAAAUAUUAAGCCAUACGCGUCCUUAAUUAUAAUCCUUGGUGAUUUUUGGGAAGAGCUUGGCUUGAAGGUUAUAGGAAUUUCGUUCGGUGAUGAACAGUUGCAAAAUUUUUCUAACCACGCAUCUUAAACAAGUUUGCACUCGAUUGAAAUGUCAAAAGGAAGUUCAACUCAACAUCUUAUCUGAACAUGAAGUUUGGGCUUUAUUCAAAGGUAAUGCUGGGCUAAAAGAUGUCACUUCCCCCUUCAAUGAUGUAGCUAGGGAGGUUGCCGGAGAAUGCAAAGGUUUGCCUCUUGCAAUUGUAACUUUGGGAAGAGCUUUGAAAGAUGAAACCCUGGACGGUGGAAAGUAGUGUAUCAGCGACUGAAAGACUCUAGACAUAUAGAGAAUCAAGAUGUUUACGGAGGUAUUUACAGCAGUCUUUAAAAUUAGUUAUUAUUGUUUAAAAAAGGACAAUAGCCGUUCAUGUUUAUUAUUGUAUUCACUUUUUUAGAAGAUCGUGAGAUUAGAAUCGAUGAAUUAACUAUAUACAGAAUUAGGCAAGGAAUGUUUGAUGGUGUUGAUUUAAUUUAAGAUGCAAGGAGGGCGAUGCGUGUAAUAAUAAAAAAUCUCCAAAAGUCAAGUUUGUUGUUGAAAACUAAUAAUGAAAGGCGUGUGAAAAUGCAUGCUGUGGUUCGUGAUUUUGUUUAUUGGAUGACGUCGAGAGGAAAAAACACAGUCAUGAUGAAAAGUGGGUUAAAACUAUGACCUACGAGUGAAAGUUUUCAAAUGUUACACAAAAUCUCAUUAAUGAAGAACAAAAUAAAUAUUUUUCUUGACAAAUUGAAGGUUUCAAAUCCCAUUAAUUAUAAAGUUUUCGAUUUUAUUAGAUUAUGAUUAUAAUUAUGAUAGCUGGAGUUUAGUAAGAGUACCAAAUAUGUUUUUUCAAAGAAUGAAAGCCCUCAAAGUUUUAGUUCUUAUAAGUGUGUUGGUGUCAUUGGAAGAAUCACAAUUCUUCACAAACUUUCGAACUCUAUACUGGGAAAAUUGUGAGCUGGAGAAUGCUUCAGCAUUGGGAAUUUGAAAGAACUUGAAUUUAUUAUUACUCCUUUUUCUGAUAUCAAGAAGCUACCUUAUGAAUUAUGGGAAUUGACUACUCUAAGAUUUCUGGUUAUAAGGAAUGAGUCUGAGAGUUUUGAUUUACCCCAAACUUGCAACCAACGUGAGUAGUAGAUCGGACUCUUAUAAUAUUGCUUUCAAGUAUUAUUUAUUAUUAAUCUUAUUUAUUUUUCUACUGUUAUACUCUAUGAAAAUCUUUGUAAAAGUAAUUGCAAUGUUUAAUAAAUUUAUAUUAUAAAUUAUUAUCAUUAAAGUAGAAUUUUUUAAAAGAAAUUAAUUAAAAAAAAGAAAAACUCUUAAUACAUUUACCUUUCAAUUAAAAUUUAAAUCAAAUAUAUAAAAAGUAUAUAAUAAUGUCGAUAGCCCAUGAUGGCCGAAGAGCUUCUAGAGGGAGCAUUAAUAGCACAUGAGAAGUGUGAGCCAUGUUGUCAAUUUGUCUUGUACAGAGAACCUUCUCUUUUUUUUUUUUUCUUUUUCUGUCUCAAACAUUGAAUGCAUUCAUACCUUUUAUUUUGCCCAUAUUAAAACCUGCCUUUUGUCACGAGUUCUUUCAGUAUUUAAGCAGCAAGCGCUGGGUCUAAUGGCCGCACAAACACUUCCAUCUUAUCUUUGCAAACAGGAGCUCGUGAUCAACAAUGGCAUGUGNGCGUGAUCAACAAUGGCAUGUGGGCACACUUCGAUUGCUGAUACUGCUGCUGUUGCUGCUGCUCGAUCAAAUGUUUCAUACGAGCGUACCUUGGUCAGCGUCGAGUAUGUACGUGUGAACAAUAUUGAUAAAGAGACUCCUGGUCACCUCUACGGAACUGUGAAGGUCAAGGGCUUUUGGGGUCUUCAUACGGUGUAUGAUCGGAGUUCAAGUGACUACGAGAGCAAAGGUCCUGGCGAAUUCGCCACAUUGACAGGCCAUACAAAAAGCUCUUGCUGAAAUUUAUUUUAAGAACAGACACCAUUUGAAAACAUCGAAACACCCUUCUAAUAUAUUUUUUAGAAAGAUAGUUUUUCUAGCAUCAGUGCUAGUGUGCCAUCCAUAAUCUCAAAUCUUUUGGUUUAAGACUAUUGUUGGCAUCAACCUAACCUGAGCUUCAAAAGACAGAGACUAUUCACACCUCAUUCUGCUGAAAAGACUUUGGUAGAAGUCUGUCCUAACCUGGCAGAAGCACCCUCCUAAUAUUAACAAGAUGCUCUAGUUUUACUUAUCUAAUCGUAUCAUCCGCAAAUUGUAAUCAUAUUGAAAAGAAAGAUAAAAAAAGAACACCCUUAUUUUAAGCCUCUCUUUAAAUUAAUUGGUUUGGUCGGUAACCCAUUAACCAAAAUUGAGACUUUAGCAAUUGUGAUACAAUCUUCAAUCCACCUCUUCCAUUUAUCUCCAUUAAGGUAUGCUUCAUUAAAAUAAUUCGAAAAAAGCUUGUUGAUCUCUUUUUUACUUUCAAUGUCUUUAAUGAUUAUAUCUUGAAAUCUUACGAAAAGACAUUUAAGAGCACAUACAUGAAGUCAAUUUUUCAUAAUUAGAAUUCAAUAUGGUAUUAAGUAUUAUUAACGGAUUCAGCUUUGUUCAAUUUAUUCAUAUUUUUAUUAUAUAAAUUAUAAUAUAAUACAAUAAUAUUGAUUAUUUAAUUUUUGACCCUAUAAAUGUUUAAUAAUAUACUAUGUGUAGCAUUUUAGUAUGAUAUAAUUUUUAUAUUAGAUUCUAAAAUAUGUGAAUAAAUAUAUAUUAAAAUUUUAUUCUAAAUUUCUAACGUUUAUUAUAAAAUUUCAUCAUUUUUUACACAUUUUUUUUACCAAUAACUGUGGAUAUUUUUAUAUUUGUCCAUAUAUGCAUCCAUUAUCCGUGAAUGGUUGGUUGUUAUGGGUGCUCUUAUCCUUUGGUCAUAUCCGGUAAGUAGCUAGAGAGAUACUUUUCUAUGAAAGUCAUUGAAUCGAGCAAGCAAGUAUGUGGGGAAUAAAUGGACCACAGGGGAAAAAUGAUUGCAAAAUGACAAAAAUACAAAGGACAGAAACAGAGGGAUCACAGGGAAAGAUGAUUGCAAAAUGACAAAAAUAAAAAGGACGGCAACAGAGGGAUCACAAGGAAAAAUGAUUGCAAAAUGACAAAAAUACAAAGGACAGCAACUGAGGCAUCACAUCAAUUAUUCAAUAAUUUCUAUAUUCAAAGUGUUUUUGCUACCUGAAGAAGAAUCAUCUGUUGUUUCUUAAUUCCCUCUGCUAGUGGGCUUCUGCUUAUUUCUACUUGCGUUUUCUUUUUACCAAAAUACAAGCUUAACCUUAUUGUAUUUAUUUGCUUUGGUCUGUAUUUCUACUUUUUAAAAUUUAAUUAAUGCAUAUAUGAAAUAAAAGGCUGCUCCUUAUUUCUUAUUUUUUUUCCCAAUAAGUUGACGAAAUAAAAUAAAUAAAUUAGAUUUGAGUCAACCCCAAAUUAAAUAAAAUAAAUAAUUUUCUUUUUAUCAAAUCGACUCUCCGAUUUAGAUUAUAACACAUUCAAACCCAAAUUAAUUUCAAUGACAUAGUGCUUACAUGCCUGGAUGAUAAUACUUCAUUUACGAGCUAAUGUCCUUCAACCAUUAAGUAUAAUUUUUUUAAGGAAAUUAAAUUAAAAAAAGUAAAACUCUAAAUAUAUUUACUUUUUAAUUAAAAUUUAAAUCAAAAUAUAUAAAAAUUAUAUAAUAAUGUUGAUAGCACCAUGAUGGCCAAAGAGCUCCUAGAGGGAGCGUUUAGCACAUGAGAAGUGUGAGCCAUGUUGCCAAGUUGUCUUGUACGGCUUGUACAGUGAACCGCCUCACCCACAAGAAAACGUCCUUCUUUUGAAUGCAUUCAUACCUUUUAUUUUGCCCAUAAUAAAACGUGCCUUUAGUCCCGAGUUCUUUCAGUAUUUAAGCAGCAAGCACUGGCUCUAAUGGCCACACAAACACUUUCAUCUUAUCUUUGCAAACAAGAACGAGUGAUCAACAAUGCCAGGUGGGCACGCUUCAGCUGCUUUCAAUGUAGAUGAAAAUGAUUACCAGAGAUUUAUCGAGGGCCUAAGAUCCAUACUUUCAUUCUCCAGAUCACACAGUAUCGGUGUGCUCAGGCCACAGACAGAGCCUGUAAGCUGGUUAGAUAUUCGCCUAACUUCUGGUGAUUCCACCAUCUUCUUGAGAAUCGAUCAGAGAGAUCUAUACGUGCGUGGCUAUUCGAGAGAUAACGGUGGAACAUUUUGGGAGUUUUCAGAUUCAUCUCUGAUUUCUGGAUCGAGACGUCUCGCUUAUAGCGGAAGCUAUGUAGAUGGUUACAACGUGGUUCGUGCUGCCGGCGGAGAUGUUACCCGUGGAACUCUUCAACUGGGUUAUCAAAAUUUGAGGAAUGCCAUUGCUAACCUAGCAAGAACAGAGGACCCGAACUCGACCCAAAACAAUGGACUGCAGAAUUGUGCUAGAGCACUGCUGAUUCUAACUCAAAUGAUUUCUGAAUCCACUAGGUUUCCAUUAAUCACCAACCAUAUUGUCACAAACUGGCACAAUUCUGCACCACUUACUAGACAACUCGUCCGCUUGCAACAGUCCUUUGGCACUUUUUCUAGUGCUGUCCAACGUGCUGACUUCCCCAACUGGACAGCUAAUACACCCUUGCCUAACAUCCCUGAACCUAACGAAGCCAACAUUUGGACCGUAGGUCAAGCCAUUGCCGCAGUUGGGAUUUUGAUAAAUGUCCCGCGCACAAGCAGCCGCAUGAAACGCCAAGCUGAUGUUGAUGUUGGCAAUGCUCGUAAUGCGGAUACUGCUGUUGUUGCUGCUGCUGAUACAAAUGUUUCAUACGUGCGUACCUUGGUGAGCAUUGAGUAUGUACGUGUGAACAAUAUUGAUAGUGAAGAUCCUGGUCAACUUUACGGAACAGUGAAGGUCAAGGACUUUUGGGGCGUUCAUCAGGUGUAUGAUCGGAGUUCAAGUGACUACGAGAGCAAAGGUCCUGGCGGAUUUGCCACAUUGACAGGCCCUUCAACUGGUAUUUCGGGCGAUGAUGUGUUCGGGAUCAGCGUCAAUUUGUGGGACCAUGACAGCUUGUCUCCUGACGACGAGAUUGCUGAAGGCGACAUCGUGUGGGAACCAAGAAAUGAGAAUCUAACUUUUGCCAAUUACGAUAAGCGUUUGGAGAAGGAUGUGGCUGGUAAAUAUGGCAAUGUUACGGUGGGUUACUCCGUAGUAAGACAAGCUCUCAAUGCCACUGUUAAGGUUUUGCUGAUCAACGGAGAUAAUGAAUCAUCGGCGGAGGUGUAUGGAACAAUCAAAGCUUCGCAAGUUAUAGGGGGAUCAUCAACAUCCUUCACAUUGUUUGAGAAAUCGUCCGGUGAAUACGUUCCAGUGAAACCCUAUCAAUCUAUUCCAUUAACUCGUUCUGUUGUGGUAGCACCAGUGAGUUCCGGGUUAACAAUCACGGCAGAUUUGUGGGAUUACGAUACACUGUCACAUGAUGACCAAAUUGCUAAAGGAAGUUUACACUUUGAUGCAUGGGUCGGAACCCAAGCUAGGAGCAUAUAUGGUCAAUAUGGUGAAGUGGAAGUGUACGUCACUUUUGAGUGAUCGAGGAAGCAACACUCCCUUUACCCAAUCUUGCCUACCGAUCGGUCAGUUGGGAUACAUAGUAAAUAAAUGGUGUGGGAAGAGGAGGAAUAUUGUUAUACCGUAAUAUAUAUAUAUAUAUUUUGAAUUGUUGGCAAGAGUUCUGUCUCUGUUAGUGGAUGGUAUCCGUUUUAUUUUGUUUGGAGAUUGGAUGUAAUGCAAAACCAAAUGGGACCAAACAAUAUGUUACUUUUUAAAUAAUAAUAAUAAUAAUGAUAACAAUAUGUCCCAAACUCCAAAUGCCAACCAUAUUUAAGACAAAAUUGCAGACUUCCUAGUUUUAGUUUUUGAAAAGAAGACUAUACAAGGAAAAAGCACAACAAUUGUAGUUUAAAAUAAAAUGACGUGAAGAGCAUCAUUAUAAUCUUGAUGAUGUUCGGGAAGAACUUGGCUUGAAGGCUAUAGGAAUUCCAUUCAGUGAAGAUCACAAUAGUUGCAAAAUUCCAUUCCAUCUCAUGUAAUCGGUGUUUCUCCUACUAUUUCCGGUUUUUCUUCUAUUCUUGCUCACAUCUCUAAAAUUUUAUCUUCUACCUAAGAUCCUAUCUAAGAUCGUAUAGAGAUGCAAUCCCUAUCUUAAUCUAAAAGAUUAAGACUCACUCCAUAUUUAUAGAGCCAUGUUUCUUUGUCACCAUGAAUUUCUACUCAUUAAAAACUCUCUAUCAUUAAGUAUAUUUACCCUUUAAAUAAACUUAAUCAUCAAAUAAUUUUCAACGAAUGAAAUUUUAUUGAUUCCCCAUUAAUAUUUGAAUAAAACAUUUGGG
This 9377-nucleotide long non-coding RNA is filed under the name Theobroma cacao (cacao). RNAcentral describes it as "long non-coding RNA (TCAC_LNC006451)". Lineage: Eukaryota; Viridiplantae; Streptophyta; Magnoliopsida; Malvales; Malvaceae. The record is from RNAcentral.